ACCCUCUUGGUCUCACCUUCUCUUGCAGAGAUGCAAACUGACGCUCUUCCGCUGCGCAGAGUUUCUCAGGUGGGCUCAUUUGAAGACGCUGUUCCGCAGCAUGGCCUGGGAUGGCUCCUCACAGCUCCUGAAGUGUGUCUGGAAGUGCUUGAUGCAGAACGAGAGCCACAUCCCCAAAUUCCUGUUCCAGGCCUUAGAGUACCUGGAAAGCUCACAGACAACAAUAAGACAUUCUGCAGCCCUGUUCAUUGGAAAUACUAUCCGCCAUUACUGCGACUUGUGGUCUGAAACCGUGAAUGAAGAUGGCAUCUCCCGCCUGUAUGAAG
This is a non-coding RNA of Chrysemys picta bellii (western painted turtle), 326 nucleotides long. Lineage: Eukaryota; Metazoa; Chordata; Testudines; Emydidae. The record is from RefSeq and is a predicted model, not a curated record.